RNAcentral lists this ribosomal RNA (491 nucleotides) under uncultured Aeromonas sp. Its description in RNAcentral is "partial 16S ribosomal RNA". The record is from RNAcentral. Lineage: Bacteria; Pseudomonadati; Pseudomonadota; Gammaproteobacteria; Aeromonadales; Aeromonadaceae.
CACGGAGUUAGCCGGUGCUUCUUCUGCGAGUAACGUCACAGCUGGCAGUUAUUCGCUACCAACCUUUCCUCCUCGCUGAAAGUGCUUUACAACCCGAAGGCCUUCUUCACACACGCGGCAUGGCUGCAUCAGGGUUUCCCCCAUUGUGCAAUAUUCCCCACUGCUGCCUCCCGUAGGAGUCUGGACCGUGUCUCAGUUCCAGUGUGGCUGAUCAUCCUCUCAGACCAGCUAGGGAUCGUCGCCUUGGUGAGCCAUUACCUCACCAACUAGCUAAUCCCACCUGGGUUCAUCCAAUCGCGCAAGGCCCGAAGGUCCCCUGCUUUCCCCCGUAGGGCGUAUGCGGUAUUAGCAGUCGUUUCCAACUGUUAUCCCCCUCGACUGGGCAGAUCCCCAGGCAUUACUCACCCGUCCGCCACUCGCCGGCAAAAGUAGCAAGCUACUUCCCGCUGCCACUCGACUUGCAUGUGUUAGGCCUGCCGCCAGCGUUCAAU